This 218-nucleotide long non-coding RNA is filed under the name Physcomitrium patens. Its description in RNAcentral is "long non-coding RNA (PPAT_LNC009861)". The record is from RNAcentral. Lineage: Eukaryota; Viridiplantae; Streptophyta; Bryopsida; Funariales; Funariaceae.
CAGGACCAAUGGUAUGCUUUUUUAGGAAAACGAGGAUGCCCAGCCACAAUAGGAAUCGUGCGGCUGCACAGUGAAAUAUCGCAACAACAACCAGGUUCCUUUCUUUCUGCUCAACCUGCCCUUUGUUUUACAAUUCCUUUAUUUAUUGGCCCUCAAAAAUUGAGAACAUUAGCAUUAUUAGAUUCAAGAGAAUCUGCUUGUUUCUUAGACGAAGAAUU